GAUGAAGAACGUAGCGAAACGCGAUAUGUAAUGUGAAUUGCAGAAUUCAGUGAAUCAUCGAAUCUUUGAACGCACAUUGCGCCCGCCAGCAUUCUGGCGGGCAUGCCUGUUCGAGCGUCAUUUCAACCCUCGAGCCCCCCCGGGGGCCUCGGUGUUGGGGGACGGCACACCAGCCGCCCCCGAAAUGCAGUGGCGACCCCGCCGCAGCCUCCCCUGCGUAGUAGCACACACCUCGCACCGGAGCGCGGAGGCGGUCACGCCGUAAAACGCCCAACUUUCUUAGAGUUGACCUCGGAUCAGGUAGGAAUACCCGCUGAACUUAAGAAUAUCAAUAAGCGGAGGA
RNAcentral lists this unclassified non-coding RNA (343 nucleotides) under soil metagenome. RNAcentral's name for it is "partial contains 5.8S ribosomal RNA, internal transcribed spacer 2, and large subunit ribosomal RNA". The stretch from base 1 to 120 matches the Rfam family "5.8S ribosomal RNA", at positions 35 to 154 of the family's 154-position model. The record is from RNAcentral.